AUGCCCAAUUUGGUAGCACAUAUACUAAAACUGGAAUGAUACAGAGAAAAUUAGCAUGGUCUUCGAUCGAGGAUGACAUGCAAAUUUGUAAAAGGUUCUAUAGUUUU
Molecule: small nuclear RNA, 107 nt
Organism: Oryctolagus cuniculus (rabbit)
Lineage: Eukaryota; Metazoa; Chordata; Mammalia; Lagomorpha; Leporidae
Source: Ensembl